RNAcentral lists this ribosomal RNA (465 nucleotides) under uncultured bacterium. Its description in RNAcentral is "bacterial SSU rRNA". It matches the Rfam family "Bacterial small subunit ribosomal RNA", at positions 28 to 490 of the family's 1533-position model. The record is from RNAcentral.
GAUGAACGCUAGCGGCAGGCUUAACACAUGCAAGUCGAGGGGCAGCACGGGUAGCAAUACCUGGUGGCGACCGGCGCAAGGGUGCGUAACGCGUGAGCAACAUGCCCUAUACAGGGGGAUAAUCCAGGGAAACUUGGUCUAAUAUCCCAUAGUAUUUAGAGGAGGCAUCUUCUAUAAAUUAAAGCUUCGGUGGUAUAGGAUUGGCUCGCGUGACAUUAGCUAGAUGGUGAGGUAACGGCUCACCAUGGCAAUGAUGUCUAGGGGCUCUGAGAGGAAGGCCCCCCACACUGGGACUGAGACACGGCCCAGACUCCUACGGGAGGCAGCAGUGAGGAUAUUGGACAAUGGAUGGAAAUCUGAUCCAGCCAUGCGCGUGCAGGAAGACAGCCCUAUGGGUUGUAAACUGCUUUUAUAUGGGAGCAAUAAGGUCUACGUGUAGACUGAUGAGAGUACCAUAUGAAUAAG